Molecule: non-coding RNA, 165 nt
Filed under: bovine gut metagenome
Also listed under: 1 other name
Description: Lysine riboswitch
Rfam family: Lysine riboswitch aptamer
About the family: Riboswitches are metabolite binding domains within certain messenger RNAs that serve as precision sensors for their corresponding targets. Allosteric rearrangement of mRNA structure is mediated by ligand binding, and this results in modulation of gene expression. This family includes riboswitches that sense lysine in a number of genes involved in lysine metabolism, including lysC.
Source: RNAcentral
UUAUGGUAGAGGCGCGAGGUUCAUCAGUACUUUGUGGGAUGUUUCAGAACAGUUGAACAUAAAGGAAAGGGUGCAUCGCCGAAGGUUUUUCCGAGUCUGAACCGGAGAUUCCUGGGUAUGCAGCGAACAGCUGUAUAACUGUCAUCGCAAGAUGGAGUGCUACUG